RNAcentral lists this ribosomal RNA (474 nucleotides) under uncultured organism. RNAcentral describes it as "partial 16S ribosomal RNA". It matches the Rfam family "Bacterial small subunit ribosomal RNA", at positions 331 to 797 of the family's 1533-position model. The record is from RNAcentral.
GUACACUCCUACGGGAGGCAGCAGUGGGGAAUAUUGCACAAUGGGCGCAAGCCUGAUGCAGCCAUGCCGCGUGUAUGAAGAAGGCCUUCGGGUUGUAAAGUACUUUCAGCGGCGAGGAAGGCGAUAAGGUUAAUAACCUUGUCGAUUGACGUUACCCGCAGAAGAAGCACCGGCUAACUCCGUGCCAGCAGCCGCGGUAAUACGUAGGGUGCAAGCGUUAAUCGGAAUUACUGGGCGUAAAGCGCACGCAGGCGGUCUGUUAAGUCGGAUGUGAAAUCCCCGGGCUCAACCUGGGAACUGCAUUCGAAACUGGCAGGCUAGAGUCUUGUAGAGGGGGGUAGAAUUCCAGGUGUAGCGGUGAAAUGCGUAGAGAUCUGGAGGAAUACCGGUGGCGAAGGCGGCCCCCUGGACAAAGACUGACGCUCAGGUGCGAAAGCGUGGGGAGCAAACAGGAUUAGAUACCCUUGUAGUCCC